Molecule: microRNA precursor, 157 nt
Filed under: Medicago truncatula (barrel medic)
Lineage: Eukaryota; Viridiplantae; Streptophyta; Magnoliopsida; Fabales; Fabaceae
Description: miR5742 stem-loop (mtr-MIR5742)
Source: miRBase by way of RNAcentral
AACGCAGUUACCACAUCAAUGGUCGUUGGAUCGAGAUAAAACGGUCUAGAUUUCGAUACAAAUUUUGAUUUUUUUUUAAGAAAAAAAACUAAAAUAUCAGUUUGAAAUUUCGAUCAUCCGAUCCCGAUCCAACGGUCAAUGUUGUGAUGACUGCUUG